This 85-nucleotide transfer RNA is filed under the name Felis catus (domestic cat). It matches the Rfam family "tRNA". Rfam says of the family: Transfer RNA (tRNA) molecules are approximately 80 nucleotides in length. Their secondary structure includes four short double-helical elements and three loops (D, anti-codon, and T loops). Further hydrogen bonds mediate the characteristic L-shaped molecular structure. tRNAs have two regions of fundamental functional importance: the anti-codon, which is responsible for specific mRNA codon recognition, and the 3' end, to which the tRNAs corresponding amino acid is attached (by aminoacyl-tRNA synthetases). tRNAs cope with the degeneracy of the genetic code in two manners: having more than one tRNA (with a specific anti-codon) for a particular amino acid; and 'wobble' base-pairing, i.e. permitting non-standard base-pairing at the 3rd anti-codon position. Lineage: Eukaryota; Metazoa; Chordata; Mammalia; Carnivora; Felidae. The record is from Rfam by way of RNAcentral.
GCCUAGGUGGCUCAGUCGGUUGAGCAUCCGACUUCGGCUCAGGUCAUGAUCUCCCAGUCUGUGGGUUCGAGCCCCGCGUCAGGCU